AUGAAACUGAAUAAAUAGUGUUGAUUGUCAGACUCAUUCACAAUAUUUACAAAGUGGAAGCCUGAAGAACACUUGACAAGAUGGCUAAAAUUGUCCCAAUUAUAAUUCUUAUCAAUCUUAAAGUUAUCUCUUCCCUCAUCAUCCAGCAAUCACCAGAACAUCUACUAACAACACCUGACCAGAGGGAAGUGAAGCUCAGCUGCCAACAUGGUGAUACCAACUAUCCCUACAUGUACUGGUAUCAACAAAAAACAGUCAGUGACUCCAUUGAGCUCAUUGGAAUGCUCCAGUACCAACGAUUUACUCCUGAGGAGAAGUUUAAACCACGAUUCAACAUGUCAGGACACGCUACAAGGAAUGCAUUUCUGCUUAUAUCCAGUGUAGCUCCUGAGGACAGUGCAGUAUAUUUCUGUGCUGCUAGUAAGCACAGUCACACACCUUCCCUUUCUGUUUAACAAAAAGCUUCACACUAAACACCUGCAAAUAAGAUCUGUUUUGUGAUUACUGCAGUCUGUAAUAAGAAGUGUUAUAGGAAUUGUACAGUAGAGGUCACUGAUAAAACUGGUAAUAUGUUAAAGAUUUAAAUAUCUUUUCAGGUGGUCAAGUGAAGUGAAGUGAAGUGAAGUG
This is a non-coding RNA of Tachysurus fulvidraco (yellow catfish), 627 nucleotides long. The record is from the annotation of a RefSeq genome assembly. Lineage: Eukaryota; Metazoa; Chordata; Actinopteri; Siluriformes; Bagridae.